Long non-coding RNA from Salarias fasciatus (jewelled blenny), 1001 nucleotides. RefSeq lists it as uncharacterized. The record is from RefSeq and is a predicted model, not a curated record. The transcript has 4 exons. Lineage: Eukaryota; Metazoa; Chordata; Actinopteri; Blenniiformes; Blenniidae.
UUUUGUACGAUGGUUUUUUCACCGUGUACGGGGUGGUAUACCACGCUGAUGGAUCGUAUAGUCAGAGCUGAACAAAAACCUCCAGCCUCGUCUGAAACGUCUGAUCAACAGCGAGAAUCAACCAGAAUCCAACAGAAACACCAAACACUAAGCGGUGGUCUCAGGGAGUGCUGACUGGCUUCUCUUGCCCUGGAAAUGCUCACUUUCCUUCACUUUCCCUGACUUUGUGGGGCCCGGGUUUCUGACCUGCUGCUGCUCAAACUGUGAAUAAUCCAACAUGUGUCAGACAGAAAGACAGCAGCAGCUCUGUGUGUGAUCCUCUGCUUCACAGAGUGGGGCGAAUCCAGAGGAAGUGGAUUUUAAUCGUUUCUGAGCAGCUCUGCGGACGAAUGGAGAGCCUUCAGGUUUUUGUACGAUGGUUUUUCACUGUGUGGUAUUUUACGUUCGGGAACGCGAUAAGUCUCACCGUCCUCCCUGAAGGCCCGGUCGUGGCCCCGGACCUGUUCAUCUGGACCGGUACCUCCUCCGGAUCAGCAGCCCGACGUGAACACCAGGCUGGGCCCUGAUGUCUGCCUGGCCGCCAACUUCCGCCCUCCAGGGGGCGUCAUGUUUCUGGAGACCAGCGGCGGACGUCGUCUCUGAACACCAGCACGGCCCGUUCUGUCCAUCCAGCACAAACCUACUUCUUCACCGGGUUCAGCGACCACAACAUACAGUCCUGUAAACUGAACGAUCCUUCCAGAGCCUGGCCCCUGGGACAGCUACGGUUCCUGCUACGGUUCCUGCUACGGUUCCUGCUACGGUUCAUGCUACGGCUCUUGCUACAGUUCCUGCUCGGUUCCAGAGAACGAACCCUGCAACGACUGUUAUCCUGAACGAGCCAAACUCAACUUCUACCUGCUGCUCUUCAACGGCAAUCCGAGUGGUGUUUCAUCAAGGCCGUGGCCGUCAGCACCAUCCUGACCAUCAGAGCCGUGCUGGUCUGAGCCGGGUGGGGGCGG